CCUACGGGAGGCAGCAGUGGGGAAUAUUGGACAAUGGGGGGAACCCUGAUCCAGCCAUGCCGCGUGUGUGAAGAAGGCCCUCGGGUUGUAAAGCACUUUCAGUGAGGAAGAACGCCUGGUGGUUAAUACCCAUCAGGAAAGACAUCACUCACAGAAGAAGCACCGGCUAACUCCGUGCCAGCAGCCGCGGUAAUACGGAGGGUGCGAGCGUUAAUCGGAAUUACUGGGCGUAAAGCGCGCAUAGGUGGCUUGAUAAGCCGGUUGUGAAAGCCCCGGGCUCAACCUGGGAACGGCAUCCGGAACUGUCAAGCUAGAGUGCAGGAGAGGAAGGUAGAAUUCCCGGUGUAGCGGUGAAAUGCGUAGAGAUCGGGAGGAAUACCAGUGGCGAAGGCGGCCUUCUGGACUGACACUGACACUGAGGUGCGAUAGCGUGGGUAGCAAACAGGAUUAGAUACCCUGGUAGUC
Molecule: ribosomal RNA, 465 nt
Filed under: Vreelandella stevensii
Lineage: Bacteria; Pseudomonadati; Pseudomonadota; Gammaproteobacteria; Oceanospirillales; Halomonadaceae
Description: partial 16S ribosomal RNA
Rfam family: Bacterial small subunit ribosomal RNA
Source: RNAcentral